RNAcentral lists this unclassified non-coding RNA (334 nucleotides) under soil metagenome. Its description in RNAcentral is "partial contains 5.8S ribosomal RNA, internal transcribed spacer 2, and large subunit ribosomal RNA". The stretch from base 1 to 120 matches the Rfam family "5.8S ribosomal RNA", at positions 35 to 154 of the family's 154-position model. The record is from RNAcentral.
GAUGAAGAACGCAGCGAAAUGCGAUAAGUAAUGUGAAUUGCAGAAUUCAGUGAAUCAUCGAAUCUUUGAACGCACAUUGCGCCCGCCAGUAUUCUGGCGGGCAUGCCUGUUCGAGCGUCAUUUCAACCAUCAAGCCCUGCUUGCGUUGGGGUCCUGCGGCUGCCCGCAGGCCCUGAAAACCAGUGGCGGGCUCGCUAGUCACACCGAGCGCAGUGAUACAUCUCGCUUUGGGCGUGCGGCGGGUUCUUGCCGUUAAACACCCCCUUUUUACCAAGGUUGACCUCGGAUCAGGUAGGAAUACCCGCUGAACUUAAGCAUAUCAAUAAGCGGAGGA